AUGUUUGCGUAAUCGCUAUAAAUACUAAGUAUUUAUAGAGGAAAGUCCAUGCUCGCACAGGCUGAGAUGCUUGUAGUGUUCGUGCUUGAUGAAUUCAUAAAUCAAGGCAGUUGUUAAUCAACUGACGGCAGGAUCAUUAGCUAAGUCUUUUUAUAGAUAUGCAAUUGAUCCAUAAAAGUGCCACAGUGACGUAGCUAAAUUGGAAACGAUUUAGGUGGAACGGGUAAACCCCACGAGCGAGCAACCCAAAUUAUGGUAGGGGCAUCUUGGAUUAGGGAAAUGAACCGAAACAAGGACGGAUCAUGUGAGAAUGAUUCCGUAGAUAGAUGAUUACGACUAACUGUACAAGGUUGACCACCGUAAUAGUACGUUAGUACAGAACAUGGCUUAUAAAACAU
RNAcentral lists this RNase P RNA (398 nucleotides) under Amphibacillus xylanus NBRC 15112. RNAcentral describes it as "ribonuclease P RNA component". It matches the Rfam family "Bacterial RNase P class B". From Rfam's summary of the family: Ribonuclease P (RNase P) is a ubiquitous endoribonuclease, found in archaea, bacteria and eukarya as well as chloroplasts and mitochondria. The record is from RNAcentral. Lineage: Bacteria; Bacillati; Bacillota; Bacilli; Caryophanales; Bacillaceae.